Molecule: ribosomal RNA, 465 nt
Filed under: uncultured bacterium
Lineage: Bacteria
Description: SSU rRNA
Rfam family: Bacterial small subunit ribosomal RNA
Source: RNAcentral
AGGACUAACGCUGGCGGCGUGCCUAACACAUGCAAGUCGAACGAAGUAGCAAUACUUAGUGGCAGACGGGUGAGUAACACGUAGUCAACCUGCCCUUCAAUGGGGGAUAACUAGCCGAAAGGUUAGCUAAUACCGCAUACGAUCUCUGAGUGGCAUCACUCGGCGAUGAAAGGAGUAAUCCGUUGAAGGAGGGGACUGCGUCCCAUUAGUUAGUUGGUGGGGUAAUGGCCUACCAAGACUCCGAUGGGUAGCUGGCUUGAGAGAGCGACCAGCCACACUGGAACUGAGACACGGUCCAGACUCCUACGGGAGGCAGCAGUGAGGAAUUUUUCCGCAAUGGGGGAAACCCUGACGGAGCGACGCCGCGUGUGGGAAGAAGGCCUUCGGGUCGUAAACCACUGUCGAGGGGACGAUAUUGACGGUACCCCUGGAGGAAGCCCCGGCUAACUACGCGCCAGCAGCCGC